Molecule: long non-coding RNA, 225 nt
Organism: Callorhinchus milii (elephant shark)
Lineage: Eukaryota; Metazoa; Chordata; Chondrichthyes; Chimaeriformes; Callorhinchidae
Exons: 3
Source: RefSeq, a predicted model, not a curated record
UAUGUUUACAGUUGUUUAUUGGUGCUUUUUUGCCUGUAUUUUGCAGGCUUGCCGAGGACGAAGAACCUGCAGAUCUCAGAGAAAAUCCUUGUAUCGCACGGACGGAUACAGUGAACAUACCUAGUGCAAUGACGCAGGCAGUUCAAGAAGGAAUCGAUGGAACAAACCUAUUCUUACAAACCGCUCAGAACUACCCCAAGAGAAUCCCCAGAUGCUUAUCCACCA